UUGGUGAACCAGCGGAGGGAUCAUU
This 25-nucleotide ribosomal RNA is filed under the name Fusarium austroamericanum. Its description in RNAcentral is "partial 18S ribosomal RNA". The record is from RNAcentral. Lineage: Eukaryota; Fungi; Ascomycota; Sordariomycetes; Hypocreales; Nectriaceae.